UGACCGUGCAAAGGUAGCGUAAUCACCUGUCUUUUAAAUAAAGACCUGUAUGAAUGGCAAGACGAGGGUUUUACUGUCUCCUCCCCCCAGUCAAUGAAAUUGAUCUACCCGUGCAGAAGCGGGUAUAAAAACAUAAGACGAGAAGACCCUAUGGAGCUUUAGGCAUAUAUCAAAUAUGUAAAAAACCAAAUUUUUCCAAAUAGGCCUAAAAAAUGAGAAAAACAAGUAUUAAUGAUUAAGUGCCUUCGGUUGGGGCGACCACGGGGAAAAAUAAAACCCCCACAUGGAAUGGGAAAAAUAACCCUAAGCCAAGAAAAACACUUCUAAGCAACAAAAUUUUUGACCAAAAAACGACCCAGGGACACCAUCCCUGAGCAAUGAACCAAGUUACCCUAGGGAUAACAGCGCAAUCCUUUCCCAGAGCCCAUAUCAACGAAAGGGUUUACGACCUCGAUGUUGGAUCAGGGCAUCCUAACGGUGCAGCCGCU
RNAcentral lists this ribosomal RNA (488 nucleotides) under Conger erebennus. Its description in RNAcentral is "partial 16S ribosomal RNA". It matches the Rfam family "Bacterial large subunit ribosomal RNA", at positions 1943 to 2563 of the family's 2925-position model. The record is from RNAcentral. Lineage: Eukaryota; Metazoa; Chordata; Actinopteri; Anguilliformes; Congridae.